Non-coding RNA from Picea glauca (white spruce), 133 nucleotides. NCBI's taxonomy places the organism in Eukaryota, Viridiplantae, Streptophyta, Pinopsida, Pinales, Pinaceae. The record is from Rfam.
CACCUCCCAUCACACUAUGAGAGCUAUCCAUGCACCAAGUAAUUACCUUAACUAUAAGGAGGGGGAUGUUGAAGGUUAGGAUAUUGACUGGAGUGAAUUUGUAACAAGGUAGUUGUACUCAAAGGUGUGGUUU